Non-coding RNA from Nerophis lumbriciformis (worm pipefish), 2449 nucleotides. The record is from RefSeq and is a predicted model, not a curated record. Lineage: Eukaryota; Metazoa; Chordata; Actinopteri; Syngnathiformes; Syngnathidae.
UGAGAUGCAACUUGAUAACAUAGAUUUAUAGAAAUAAGAUGAGAUAAGGUGUGGUGUAAAACAACAAUGAGGAAAACAUGAGACCAGUGACGCAAGAUUAAAUGCAAUGUGAUAACAUCAAACCAUAGCAAUGAGAUGAGAUAAUUAGGUGUGCUGAGGUAAAGGAUGUCUCCUGGCAAAUAUGAGGAAAAAUGAAGUGGACGAGAGGCCUUCAGACAGAAGAUUAAGUUAUGAGGUCAAGGGAUGAGAACCAGCAUCACAUGAUUAAUUGAGUUGAGAUUGAAGAUGAGACUAAACUAGUUAACGUGAGAUGAGACAAAAUGAGACAGGAUCAGGUGAAAUUGAUAUUAAUUGCAAUGUUAUGACAUAAAAUGACAACGAUUAGAUGAGAUAAGGUGAUAUUUGGUAAAACCUGUGACAAGAUGAGAAAAUAAAUGAAACAGAUGAGACGCCUUUAAGCAAACGAUGACGACAUGAGGUUCGAGGGAUGAGAAAUAAUAAUAAUGAGAUCAAAGAUGAGACGAAACAAAAAAAAAAUUAUAGAAAUAAGAUGAGAUAAGGUGUGGUGUAAAACAACAAUGAGGAAAACAUGAGACCAGUGAUGCAAGAUUAAAUGCAAUGUGAUAACAUCAAACCAUAGAAAUGAGAUGAGAUAAUAAGGUACGCUGAGGUAAAGGAUGUCUCCUGGCAAAUAUGAGAAAAAUGAGGUGGACGAGAGGCCUUCAGACAGAAGAUUAAGUUAUGAGGUCAAGGGAUGGGACCCAAUAUCUCAUGAUUAAUUGAGUUGAGAUUAAACUAGUUAACGUGAGAUGAGACAAAAUUAGACAUGACAAAUAAGAUGAGACAGAAUUCGGUGAAAAUGAUAUUAUCUGCAAUGUUAUGACAUAAAAUGACAAAGAUUAGAUGAGAUAAGGUGAUAUUUGGUAAAAUAUGUAACAAGAUGAGAAAAUAAAUGAAACAGAUGAGACGCCUUUAAGCAAAAGAUGAUGACAUGAGGUUCGAGAGAUGAGAAAUAACAAUAAUGAGAUCAAAGAUGAGACGUAACAAAAAAAAAAAAAAACGAUGAACACGGUGAGACAAAAGACGAGGCAACGUCCAGUGAAAUGAGAUGAGAUGUAACGUGAUAACGUACAUGAUCAUCUGACAUGAGAUAAAGAAUCCCACAGGAUGAAUUGUCAUGGCUGAGGAAAGUAGCGACGUACAUGCGGGAUGAGAAAGGAUGUAACAUGAGACGUGACGGAAUGAGCAAAAGAAAAUACAAACGAGACGAGGGAAAAAAGAAGCAACUGGAUGAGAACAAAUACUGCAUGAUAAAUGCCCGACAUGGUCAUGUGAGAUGAGACAUGAUGAGGCUCAUGGAUCAGCCUGGGAGACUAAUCUACUUAACGUGAGAUGAGACAAAAUGAGACAUGACAAAUAAGAUGAGACAGAAUUCGGUGAAAAUGAUAUUAUCUGCAAUGUUAUGACAUAAAAUGACAAAGAUUAGAUGAGAUAAGGUGAUAUUUGGUGAAAUAUGUAACAAGAUGAGAAAAUAAAUGAAACAGAUGAGACGCCUUUAAGCAAAAGAUGAUGACAUGAGGUUCGAGGGAUGAGAAAUAACAAUAAUGAGAUCAAAGAUGAGACGAAACUAAAAAAAAAGUUAUAGAAAUAAGAUGAGAUAUGGCGUGGUGUAAAAAAAAAAAAAAAAAGACAAACAUGAGGAAAACAUGAGACCAGUUACGCAUGAUUAAAUGCAAUGUGAUAACAUCAAACCAUAGAAAUGAGAUGAGAUAAUUAGGUGCGCUGAGGUAAAGGAUGUCACGUGGCAAAUAUGAGGAAAAAUGAGGUGGACGAGAGGCCUUCAGACAGAAGAUUAAGUUAUGAGGUCAAGGGAUGAGAACCAAUAUCUCAUGAUUAAUUGAGUUGAGAUUAAACUAGUUAACGUGAGAUGAGACAAAAUGAGACAGGAUCAUGUUAAAUUGAUAUUAAUUGCAAUGUUAUGACAUAAAAUGACAAAGAUUAGAUGAGAUAAGGUGAUAUUUGGUAAGAUAUGUGACAAGAUGAGAAAAUAAAUGAAACAGAUGAGACGCCUUUAAGCAAACGAUGACGACAUGACGUUCGAGAGAUGAGAAAUAAUAAUAAUGAGAUCAAAGAUGAGACGAAACAAAAAAAAAGUUAUAGAAAUAAGAUGAGAUAAGGUGUGGUGUAAAAAAAAAAAAAAGACAAACUUGAGGAAAACAUGAGACCAUGAGAAACUAGUUAACGUGAGAUGAGACAACAUUAGACAUGGCAAAUAAGUUGAAACAGAAUCCGGUUAAAAUUAUAUUAUUGUAAUGUUAUGACAUAAAAUGACAAAGAUUAGAUGAGAUAAGGUGAUAUUUGGUAAAAUAUGUAACAAGAUGAGAAAAUAAAUGAAACAGAUGAGACGCCUUUAAGCAAAAGAUGAUGACAUGAGGUUCGAGGGAUGAGA